Non-coding RNA from Pelobates cultripes (western spadefoot toad), 153 nucleotides. NCBI's taxonomy places the organism in Eukaryota, Metazoa, Chordata, Amphibia, Anura, Pelobatidae. The record is from the annotation of a GenBank genome assembly.
GAGAGUAUGUGCGCUCACAGGUCUUUUUUUCUAACUUUUUCUUUUCUUUUUGAUUUAAAAAGAGUUAGGUGAGUGCACCUACUCUCUUUUGAAUGUUUGAUUUAAAAUAAAAUAAAAAGUUAGAAAAAAAGACCUGUGAGUGCACCUACUCUC